Molecule: long non-coding RNA, 346 nt
Organism: Heterocephalus glaber (naked mole-rat)
Lineage: Eukaryota; Metazoa; Chordata; Mammalia; Rodentia; Bathyergidae
Source: Ensembl
UGAAGGCUCUGCCACAGGCCCCAACUCCAAGCAUAGUCACAUUAAAUAUUAGGUUCCAACAUAUAACUGAGGGGAUGAGUGUGAACAUUCAUACCACACCAAGUAGUAUAAAGAUAAGAAAAUGUUAAGGAUAAACAUAAAUUCAAUGUCUCACUGAUGGAACCCUUGUCCUGAGUGGCCUUACAGAGAAGCCCAUGUAGUGAAUGAUUGAGGCCUCUUGCCAACAGCCAUGUGAACAGUUUUGGAAGUGGAUCCUCCAGCUCCAGUGAAAUCUUCAGAGACUACGGCCCUGUUGGCACACUGACUGAAAGCUUCCCCAUGAGACUUGAAAAAUAUUAAGACUGAG